RNAcentral lists this long non-coding RNA (2140 nucleotides) under Heterocephalus glaber (naked mole-rat). RNAcentral describes it as "lncRNA (ENSHGLG00100038537.1)". Lineage: Eukaryota; Metazoa; Chordata; Mammalia; Rodentia; Bathyergidae. The record is from RNAcentral.
GGUGAAUGUGCCCCAGUCCAGGCAGGGGGCUCAGGAAAACUCGGCCUCUGUGAAGUGGGCAAGGCCCUGGAUCAUGGUGACACACUGGGCCAGCUGCUCCAGGACAGCCUGCUGAUGGGGAGGACCAGCGAGGCCCAGGAGGCAGCGUCCUCUCCUUAAUCUGGGAGGCUUAACUUUCAGGCCCAUUCUGUGCUUGGGCCCUUGCCAGUGAGGAAGGUGCCACUGUUGAGCCCAUGCUCAGGGGCCGGAAGUCACCCAGGGACGGCCGGAAGUCUCACCUCGGGUAGCACAGUGAAAACCACGGGCAGGGCUGUGUGAGGAGCAGCAGGAAGUCAGGGCCUUGGGUGAGCCCCAUGGGUCCCUGUGGCAGGCGCAGGCGCUCGGUGCCCUGGGCACACACGCCAUGAGCCAGAAGGGGCAGCUGAAGGCCACCGAGAAGAGCACAGGGCCAGGGCUGGAGCGGCGUGGGCUUGCGGUGCCACGUCUGAGACCUCAAGAACUUUAAAGCAAGAAUGAGGUCUCAUCGCAGGACUCAAAUCUGGAGAUGGCACAAAAUGUAUAGGACCCUCAAGGAGGGGGCCUCCUAGCUACUUGGGAGGCAGAGGCAGGAGGACAGCAAGUUUGAGGCCAACCCCGGCAACUUAGUGAGAGUCCCAUUUAAAUAAAUAAACAUAUAAUUAAUUAAUUAAUAAAAGGGGUGGAAAAGGAGCUCAGUAUUGUCUAGCAUGCAUGGGGCCGGGGUUCAACCCUGUGCUCUUAGUAAACAGUUAUUAUGGAAAGUAUCACCAUUUCUACUUAGACCUACUCUAUUAAUAAUAUUUAAUGUGGUUUAUUUCAGCAAUGAAGAUUAAAUCUGAAUAUACUUAGAGUAAAUCCCAAUAAUAUUGAUGUCAAUAAAUACUCAUCAAUUGGCUUGAAUAAAUGUUUAUUGCCCAACACAUGUUCUUCCCAGCGAUCACCAAGUGCUGUCCUGGAAGCACUGGGGAUCUAGAGAUGACCAAAAGUGGGCAUGGAUUUCUACCUUUCUGGUGCUCAUCUUCUUGUUGGAGGACAGACACUAAGACGCUAAAGAAAAGUAAACUGUGUUUGUGAGAAGUGCUGUGGUGAAACUAAAGCAGGAGGUGGGUGGGAGUGCUGCGUUUUUUGUAGGGAGGCCAGGGCUCCUCCCUGCCAAGGUGACUUCUGAACACAGAACUGUGGCCCAUUUGGGAAGACAGCUCCAUGCCGGGACUGGAAGGAGUCUGAGUGAGCAGGAAAAGCUUCUGCCUGGAGGAAGCUCCAGGCCCUGCCCAGCUGGGAAGGGGCCUUCCAAGCCCUCGGAAUGUCCUACCUGGUGAGCAUGAGUUGGGGCCGCAGGCCACACCGGUGCUUUAGGACCAAAAUGGUGAUUUGCCACAGGGCCUGCGGCACAGUGCAGCCAUCUGACCUCUGGAGGGCGCUGAAGUCUGGCUCACCCAUUCCCACGGGAGAGGUGUGAAUCCAGGCAGCCCCUAAGCCCACAGCUUCCAGCCUUCGGCCAACCACAGCAGCCCGGACAGAGUUUACCCUGAGACAACUCACGGCCUGAGGAUCUGAAGUCAGAGUGGGUGGGGCCAGCACCUUGGAGUUUAGCUUUGCUCCUCAGAAGGAGGGCUGGGAGCGGAGUGUAUUCCGCAGUGGGUGGAGGGCCAGCCCAGGCAGCCCCCUGGGAGGCUGUGGUUGGGUGAGAAUGGACGGAGGGUCCCAAGUUCAAGGCCAGCCUGGGCAACUGAUUACAAAUGGAUCAUCGUUUCCUAAGAUGGGGAGACCAAGGGAGAGGCAGUUGGGGGUGAGAGAUUGGAACUUAUUUUCAGACCUGUGACAUUUGAGAUGCCUGUGAUUCUCAAGUGGAAAUGUUGAGUAAGUCGUUAGAGACAGGAUGUGAUAUUGUAAUUAUGCCGUUAUUGCUACUGCUAACGUAAGUCCCUGUGAACGUAAUUACUAGAACAAGCCUUGGUGACGCUUCUACUUAUACAGGCGCCAAUGAAUUAUUACAGAAGGCCUCAGCUGCCAUUCUGUUAGAGGAAGCUUCUAGAAAUAAAAUAUUAUUGUUAUUUGGAGGUCCCAGCGAAUAUUUUAGGAAAAAAGCCUCUAUUCCUAUAACAUUUAUAUAAUAUCGACA